Molecule: ribosomal RNA, 448 nt
Filed under: uncultured bacterium
Lineage: Bacteria
Description: partial 16S ribosomal RNA
Rfam family: Bacterial small subunit ribosomal RNA
Source: RNAcentral
GUGGGGAAUCUUCCGCAAUGGACGAAAGUCUGACGGAGCAACGCCGCGUGAGUGAAGAAGGUUUUCGGAUCGUAAAGCUCUUUCGUUAGGGACGAACGUGCUCUUUGUGAAUAAUGAGGAGUAAUGACGGUACCUAAAUAAGAAGCCACGGCUAACUACGUGCCAGCAGCCGCGGUAAUACGUAGGUGGCAAGCGUUGUCCGGAAUUAUUGGGCGUAAAGCGCGCGCAGGCGGGAUAUCAAGUCUGUCUUAAAAGUGCGAGGCUCAACCUCGUGAGGGGACAGAAACUGGUAUUCUUGAGUGUCGGAGAGGAAAGUGGAAUUCCAAGUGUAGCGGUGAAAUGCGUAGAGAUUUGGAAGAACACCAGUGGCGAAGGCGACUUUCUGGACGAUGUCUGACGCUGAGGCGCGAAAGCUAGGGGAGCGAACGGGAUUAGAAACCCGAGAUCC